GGGCUCUUAUUAUCCUCCGGCUGUCCUGCUCCAUUCCCUGCAGUCCAGCUUCCACACUGCUGGUGUAGGCCUGUGUCUCUCUGGAGCAGCUCUCUGCCACCACCUGCCCUCGCUCUGUCCCUACCACCAGGGCAGCCUUCACAGAGGUUGUACCCAGAUCUAUGCCCAGCACGCAGACAGAAUCAGGCCCACCCUCCAUGGCUCCUGGUAGACGGGACUGCCUUCACCUCGUCCACCACACACCAGCCUACACAAUGCCUGGGCACCACACAGCGUGCUGAGCCCUCACACCGCUGCUUCUCGCCUCUGAGAGAGCACCCGCACCAAGCAGAGCAAAUCAGCGAGAUCUAGCGGCCCAGCAGCACGCAGUGAGCGGGCGCCCAGCGCUGAGGGAGCGGUCUAGACUCUGCCCUCAGGACUCCGGCCAAAC
Molecule: long non-coding RNA, 430 nt
Filed under: Gallus gallus (chicken)
Lineage: Eukaryota; Metazoa; Chordata; Aves; Galliformes; Phasianidae
Source: RNAcentral